CAGGUACAGGUGCAGAGGACAUGCGCUGGCCCUUGGCGUGAGGCGUACGGGGCUGUGCUGGUGCAAGUACGGAGGCUGUGUGAGAGGGUACGAAGGUGGCUGACGUGGGGGCUGGGGUUCGGCUACCUGGUUGCGGUGCAAGCAGAAGGAGAACCCUAGGGUUCGAAAAUUUCUGGGCCAUUUGGGCCAAUGUGAUUUUGGGUCCCGGGUUAAUUUGGGGAUUGGGUAUUGGUUGUGGGGCAUUAGUUAUUGGGUCUAGGUAUUAGUGUUUUAAUUUGGGUCAAAGCCUGUUAAUAGACUGUUAUAAGGUUUAAGUUCUGGUCUUGUAAUUGGGCUUUGAUUGGUUAUUGGCCCGUGGACUAUUGUAAUUAUUUGGACUUUGGACUGUUAAUAUUUAUAUU
RNAcentral lists this long non-coding RNA (401 nucleotides) under Gossypium barbadense (sea-island cotton). RNAcentral's name for it is "long non-coding RNA (GBAR_LNC012394)". Lineage: Eukaryota; Viridiplantae; Streptophyta; Magnoliopsida; Malvales; Malvaceae. The record is from RNAcentral.